Molecule: ribosomal RNA, 541 nt
Filed under: uncultured bacterium
Lineage: Bacteria
Description: bacterial SSU rRNA
Rfam family: Bacterial small subunit ribosomal RNA
Source: RNAcentral
UGAGGAAUAUUGGUCAAUGGGCGAGAGCCUGAACCAGCCAAGUCGCGUGAAGGAUGACUGUCUUAUGGAUUGUAAACUUCUUUUAUACGGGAAUAACAAGAGCCACGUGUGGCUCCCUGCAUGUACCGUAUGAAUAAGCAUCGGCUAACUCCGUGCCAGCAGCCGCGGUAAUACGGAGGAUGCGAGCGUUAUCCGGAUUUAUUGGGUUUAAAGGGUGCGUAGGCGGCCUGUUAAGUCAGCGGUGAAAUCUAGGAGCUUAACUCCUAAAUUGCCAUUGAAACUGGCGGGCUUGAGUGUAGAUGAGGUAGGCGGAAUGCGUGGUGUAGCGGUGGAAUGCAUAGAUAUCACGCAGAACUCCAAUUGCGAAGGCAGCUUACUAAGGUACAACUGACGCUGAAGCACGAAAGCGUGGGUAUCAAACAGGAUUAGAUACCCUGGUAGUCCACGCAGUAAACGAUGAUAACUGGGCGUAUGCGAUAUACAGUAUGCUCCUAAGCGAAAGCGUUAAGUUAUCCACCUGGGGAGUACGCCGGCAACGGUG